Molecule: ribosomal RNA, 232 nt
Filed under: uncultured bacterium
Lineage: Bacteria
Description: partial 16S ribosomal RNA
Rfam family: Bacterial small subunit ribosomal RNA
Source: RNAcentral
UAGUCCUACGGGGGGCAGCAGUGGGGAAUAUUGCACAAUGGGGGAAACCCUGAUGCAGCGACGCCGCGUGAGUGAAGAAGUAUUUCGGUAUGUAAAGCUCUAUCAGCGGGGAAGAAAAUGACGGUACCUGACUAAGAAGCCCCGGCUAACUACGUGCCAGCAGCCGCGGGAAUACGUAGGGGGCAAGCGUUAUCCGGAUUUACUGGGUGUAAAGGGAGCGGAGACGGCAGCG